This 253-nucleotide ribosomal RNA is filed under the name uncultured bacterium. Its description in RNAcentral is "partial 16S ribosomal RNA". It matches the Rfam family "Bacterial small subunit ribosomal RNA", at positions 524 to 776 of the family's 1533-position model. The record is from RNAcentral.
UACGAGGGGGGCGAGCGUUGUUCGGAAUUAUUGGGCGUAAAGGGUGCGUAGGCGGUUCGGUAAGUUUCGUGUGAAAUCUUCGGGCUCAACUCGAAGUCUGCACAGGAAACUAUCUGGCUUGAGUGUGGGAGAGGUGAGUGGAAUUCCGAGUGUAGAGGUGAAAUUCGUAGAUAUUCGGAAGAACACCAGUGGCGAAGGCGACUCACUGGACACGUAUUGACGCUGAGGUGCGAAAGCGUGGGGAGCAAACAGG